RNAcentral lists this ribosomal RNA (253 nucleotides) under uncultured bacterium. RNAcentral's name for it is "partial 16S ribosomal RNA". It matches the Rfam family "Bacterial small subunit ribosomal RNA", at positions 524 to 776 of the family's 1533-position model. The record is from RNAcentral.
GACGUAGGAGGCGAGCGUUGUCCGGAUUCAUUGGGCGUAAAGAGCACGCAGGCGGUUUGGCAAGUCGGAUGUGAAAGCCCGGAGCUCAACUCCGGACCUGCAUCCGAAACUGCCCGACUAGAGGUAGGUAGGGGAGAUCGGAAUUCCUGGUGUAGCGGUGAAAUGCGCAGAUAUCAGGAGGAACACCGGUGGCGAAGGCGGAUCUCUGGGCAGUAACUGACGCUGAGGAGCGAAAGCGUGGGGAGCGAACAGG